ACGUAGAUGGCAAGCGUUAUUCGGAUUUACUGGGCGUAAAGGGUCCGCAGGGGGUCUGUCAAGUCGGAUGUGAAAUUCCGGGGCUCAACCCCGGACGUGCAUCCGAAACUGCCGGACUAGAGUGAGCGAGGGGCCGAUGGAAUUCCUGGUGUAGCGGUGGAAUGCGUGGAUAUCAGGAGGAACACCGAUGGCGAAGGCGGUCGGCUGGCGCUCAACUGACCCUCAGGGACGAAAGUGCGGGGAGCAAACAG
This 251-nucleotide ribosomal RNA is filed under the name uncultured prokaryote. Its description in RNAcentral is "partial 16S rRNA". It matches the Rfam family "Bacterial small subunit ribosomal RNA", at positions 525 to 775 of the family's 1533-position model. The record is from RNAcentral.